Small nucleolar RNA from Rattus norvegicus (Norway rat), 132 nucleotides. Ensembl annotates it as small nucleolar RNA SNORA17. The record is from Ensembl. Lineage: Eukaryota; Metazoa; Chordata; Mammalia; Rodentia; Muridae.
AUUGCCCCUAGAGGAGUUAUAGGUGUGGUUACUGUGUCACAUGUGGGUCAGGAGCUGGCAGAGAGGAGAUAGGCCAUGUAUAUGUUCAUCGAUCUGACCUAAGAACACUUGAACGAUUAGUAGUCAAAUUGU